GCCGGGGUGGCGGAAUCCGGUAAACGCACCAGACUCGAGAUCUGGAGGGUCGAAAGGCCCACACGAGUUCAAAUCUCGUCCCCGGCG
RNAcentral lists this transfer RNA (87 nucleotides) under Microcaldota archaeon. RNAcentral describes it as "tRNA-Ser". It matches the Rfam family "tRNA". Rfam says of the family: Transfer RNA (tRNA) molecules are approximately 80 nucleotides in length. Their secondary structure includes four short double-helical elements and three loops (D, anti-codon, and T loops). Further hydrogen bonds mediate the characteristic L-shaped molecular structure. tRNAs have two regions of fundamental functional importance: the anti-codon, which is responsible for specific mRNA codon recognition, and the 3' end, to which the tRNAs corresponding amino acid is attached (by aminoacyl-tRNA synthetases). tRNAs cope with the degeneracy of the genetic code in two manners: having more than one tRNA (with a specific anti-codon) for a particular amino acid; and 'wobble' base-pairing, i.e. permitting non-standard base-pairing at the 3rd anti-codon position. The record is from RNAcentral. Lineage: Archaea; Nanobdellati; Microcaldota.